CUGAGACUGAAAGCUUUUCACUUCCUCCUGGUGUCAAGGAAGGAUCUCUUUGAAAACGUGGAACUGGAAUAAUAUUUUUCGUCAGAGGCUCGCUGGAUCAGGGUAACUCGGUGACUGAGGCUUCAUCUGCACGGGUCAUCUGGAAUACUGGAUUGAUGGAUAAUCUGAUCAAUAAUCUGAAUCUGUCACACAGUUCCUGUAACCAUGAAGGAAUUGCUACAUCGGACCUGAAAGAAGAAAUGAAAAUGCCCACGUUUCAUUACAAUAACAUAUGCUUGAGAAUAAAAGAUUGCUUAAAGUAUAAAACACACUCAUGGGAUUUUCUUCAUAAACUGAACGUCUGAAUUGGAGCAAUCCCAGACCAUAAGGAUCAUAGGACAGGACGAGAUGGUACUAGUAACCAGAAGCGGCAGGAGCGUGAACAAGUCCCGAGCUGAUUACUUGAGAUAAUGCUUGCAAAGAGGCUUCGAAAGAUAUUGGAAACAAAUCUCCUGCAAGGCUUCUCAGCUCAGGAAACUAAUGAGACCACAGAGGGGCUUAAACAGUCAAAGGCUGCAAUGAAAAAA
This is a long non-coding RNA of Pristis pectinata (smalltooth sawfish), 566 nucleotides long. RefSeq lists it as uncharacterized. NCBI's taxonomy places the organism in Eukaryota, Metazoa, Chordata, Chondrichthyes, Rhinopristiformes, Pristidae. The record is from RefSeq and is a predicted model, not a curated record. The transcript is spliced from 3 exons.